UUCGAUCGCGGAGCNGCUCNGNGGAUUUAAAUUGCCGCAAUUAUUUGUGCUAAGGUAGCAUAAUCAUUCGUUUUUUAAUUGAAAUCUAGAACAAACGAUUAUACAUUUUAAUUAACUUCUUAUUUUAAAUUUAUAAAUUAUCUUAUAUGUAAAAAGACAUAUAUAAAAAAGAAAGACGACAAGACCCUAUUGAACUUAACUUUAGUUACACUGGGGCAGUAAAUUAAUUAAUAUUUUAAUUUAAUUAAACAACUAAAAGACCUAAUAUAAUUAAUUAACUAAUCAAUGUUACCAUAGGGAUAACAGCGUAAUAUUAAUUUAAAGUCCUAAUAAAAAUAAAUGUUUACGACCUCGAUGUUGAAUUAAUUAUCCUAUUCAAGCAAGAUUGAAUAUUUAAAGUCUGUUCGACUUAUAAAAAUUUACAUGAUCUGAGUCAAAACCGGAGA
RNAcentral lists this ribosomal RNA (446 nucleotides) under Trachyzelotes jaxartensis. Its description in RNAcentral is "partial 16S ribosomal RNA". The record is from RNAcentral. Lineage: Eukaryota; Metazoa; Arthropoda; Arachnida; Araneae; Gnaphosidae.